UCCAUGAUCUUCUAGAUAGUGAAAAUGUCGGCAAGCCUGAGAAGAAGCCAGUCAUCUCUGAUGCUCUCCUGAAAUCUAUUGCAUCCAAGGCAAAACCAUCUGUCUCUGAUGCUGAAAAGCAGCGAUUAUACGACAUCUACAGUCAGUUUUUGGAUGCAAAAAGAUCAGUGGCUGUACAGGUGCGGUGUUCUUUGCUUAAAGCUAGAGUGGCAGAUGAUUUACCUCCCUCUAUCGCUUGCUAGUAUGAUAACAAGCGAUUAUACAACAUCUACAGUCAGUUUCUGGAUGCAAAAAGAUCAGUGGCUGCACAGGUCUGGUGUUCUUUGCUUAAAGCU
This 335-nucleotide long non-coding RNA is filed under the name Nicotiana benthamiana. Its description in RNAcentral is "long non-coding RNA (NBEN_LNC041860)". Lineage: Eukaryota; Viridiplantae; Streptophyta; Magnoliopsida; Solanales; Solanaceae. The record is from RNAcentral.